Molecule: ribosomal RNA, 241 nt
Filed under: uncultured bacterium
Lineage: Bacteria
Description: partial 16S ribosomal RNA
Rfam family: Bacterial small subunit ribosomal RNA
Source: RNAcentral
UGGCGACCGGCGCACGGGUGCGUAACGCGUAUGCAACCUACCUUUAACAGGGGGAUAACACUGAGAAAUUGGUACUAAUACCCCAUAAUAUCAUAGAAGGCAUCUUUUAUGGUUGAAAAUUCCGAUGGUUAGAGAUGGGCAUGCGUUGUAUUAGCUAGUUGGUGGGGUAACGGCUCACCAAGGCACGAUACAUAGGGGGACUGAGAGGUUAACCCCCCACAUGGUACUGAGACACGGCCAA